GAUGAACGCUGGCGGCGUGCCUAAUACAUGCAAGUCGAGCGAACAGACGAGGCGUUUGCUCCUUUCACGUUAGCGGCGGACGGGUGAGUAACACGUGGAUACUCUCCUUAUAAGACUGGGAUCACUUCGGGAAACCGGAGCUAAUACCGGAUAAUAUAUUGAACCGCAUGGUUCAAUAGUGAAAGACGGUUUUGCUGUCACUUAUAGAUGGAUCCGCGCUGCUUUAGCUAGUUGGUGAGGUCACGGCUUUCCAAGGCGACGAUGCGUAGCCGACCUGAGUGAGGGGUAGGCCACACGAGAGCGGGACCGGGGACAAGGCGCCUGCGAGAAGCAGCAGUAGGGAAUCGUCCGCAGUGGGCGAGAGCCUUGCAGAGCGGGGCCGCGUGAGUGAUGGAGAUCUUCGGAGCGUAAAACUGUGUUAUUAGUGAAGAACAAAUGUGUAAGUAACUAUACACGGCUUGACGGUACCUAGUCAGAAAGCCACGGCUAACUACGUG
Molecule: ribosomal RNA, 497 nt
Filed under: uncultured bacterium
Lineage: Bacteria
Description: partial 16S ribosomal RNA
Rfam family: Bacterial small subunit ribosomal RNA
Source: RNAcentral